AACGAACGCUGGCGGCAGGCUUAACACAUGCAAGUCGUACGAGAUCUUCGGAUCUAGUGGCAGACGGGCGAGGAACACUUGGGAACAUCCCUUUCAGUUCGGAAUAACGUUGGGAAACUAACGCUGAUACCGUAUAGGUGCUUCGGGAGAAAGAUUUAUCGCUGAAAGAUUGGCCCGCGUCUAAUUAGCUAGUUGGUGCGGUAACGGCUAACCAAGGCUACGAUCAGUAGUUGAUCUGAGAGGAUGAUCAGCCACAUUGGGACUGAGACACGGCCCAAACUCCUACGGGAGGCAGCAGUGGGGAAUAUUGGACAAUGGGCGCAAGCCUGAUCCAGACAUGCCGCGUGAGUGAUGACGGCCUUCGGGUUGUAAAGCUCUUUUGUCCGGGAAGAUAAUGACUGUACCGGAAGAAUAAGCCCCGGCAAACUUCGUGCCAGCCGCCGCGGUAA
RNAcentral lists this ribosomal RNA (449 nucleotides) under uncultured bacterium. RNAcentral describes it as "partial 16S ribosomal RNA". It matches the Rfam family "Bacterial small subunit ribosomal RNA", at positions 29 to 523 of the family's 1533-position model. The record is from RNAcentral.